RNAcentral lists this long non-coding RNA (1848 nucleotides) under Rattus norvegicus (Norway rat). RNAcentral's name for it is "long non-coding RNA NONRATT018503". The record is from RNAcentral. Lineage: Eukaryota; Metazoa; Chordata; Mammalia; Rodentia; Muridae.
AGGUUGGGUCAGACACAGGUCUCACUUUCACCAUAAAACUUCUCAAAGAACCUGUCCAUGCUUCCAAGCCAAUACCAAUUGGGCCUAAUCCCAUUUUAGUACCUCCACUCCAAUCUCCUUCAGAACCACAGUCCCCUACCUCUGCUAGUCAUGUUCCCACAUUGUUAGUUUCUUCUCCCCAGAACCUCGUCCUUACCCUAAUAAAUCAAACCUUUCUUACGCUUAAUGCUACUUCCCCCGAUCUUAUGGAUAAUUGCUGGCUAUGUUAUCACUCUCAGCCACCCUUUUAUGAGGGAAUUGCUAUUCCUGGCACGUUUUUUCCCACCAAUGAUUCUAGACAUUGCCGCUGGCAACCUGGAGAAUGGAAUGGUUUGUCCCUCUCCCAGGUCUCUGGAUUGGGCCUUUGUGUUACCCUUAUAACUCCCCCCUUACAGUAUGCCCACCUUUGUAAUCUCACCCUUGCCCCUGAUAAAAACAGUCAAUACCUGUUGCCCCCUAAUGAUGCCUGGUGGGUUUGCCUCGAUGGCCUUACUCCCUGCCUUUCAACUGAGGCCUUUUCCCCCAUGAAGUCAGAUUUUUGUAUUCUUGUACAAUUAGUUCCUCGAUUAAUUUAUUAUCGUUCAGAGGAAUUUUUUCAUCUCUGGGAUCAGUCUUCUGACCUAUCCCCCACCUUGGUCCGUCAGCGACGAGAACCUAUUUCUGCCAUCACCAAAUCAGUACUCCUUGGCCUUGGUGCCGUGGGAGCAGGAACAGGUAUCUCUUCACUCAUUCUCUCUAAAUCCAGGUACCAAGAACUCAGCGCUACCAUCGAUGCUGACGUCCAAAGACUCCAGCAAGGGGUUGACGACCUGUCUGACUCUCUGUCUUCCCUCGCAGAAGUGGUCCUUCAGAAUCGCAGAGGACUUGAUCUGCUCUUUUUACAAUAAGGAGGACUCUGUGCAGCACUCAAAGAAGAGUGUUGCUUCUAUGUAGACAAAACAGGCAUGGUAAAAGAGAGUAUGAAAAAGGUUAGAGAAGGCUUAAAAAAGAGAAAGAAAGAGAGAAAAAAAGAUGAAAGCUGGUAUCAGAACUGGUUUUCAACCUCCCCAUGGCUUACCACCUUACUGCCCUCCAUUUUAGGACCACUGGUAGGAUUAAUUUUGCUUAUUUCAUUAGGCCCUUGGGCUCUCAGUAGACUUAUAGGCUUUAUAAAGCGACAAAUAGAUGAUUUAAUGGCUAAACCUAUACAGAUUCAUUAUCAUAGGUUGGCUAUAGAGGAUCAACAAACACAAGACAAAAAUAUUAUCCCACCUCAGACACUUACCACUCCCAUCUCCACCCAACCUAAGAAAGGGCAUUUCUGCCCCAGGACCUAAUAAGGGGAGGUGUCCCAGGCCCUCCACCCUCUUGGUGACAAAGUUCCUUCUACCUUUGCUAAGGGAGGCGAGAUGAGACACUACAAGGGGAUGCCUUUAUACAAAGCUCCUGGGCCCCCUGAGAGACAAGCCUGGCUCUUUUGAUGCUCUUUAUAAGAUCCCUAAUUAAUACUUUGUCUGUGGUUACGGGGACCCGUGAUUUUCAACACGCUCAUGGCAUGUAAGCAACAACCCGAAACCACUCAAGCUAGGCAUAUGCAGGUCCAUUGUCAUCACCAUGAGAUGAAUGAUCGAGGUAUGUGCCUUGCUAUCAACCACCUCCCCCUGUGAGCUGAACUGGACAGUCAAUGACGGGUAAGAGAGCAACAUUCUCUGACCAUUUGAGGCCUAAGACAGGAGGGCCGCCAUAAGCUGCUGCCUUAUCCAAUGACGGGCCUAGAGACCUAAGAAUGGUUUUCUCCAACCUAAGACAGGUGCAGUUCCCGAGGGGCUC